AUGGCGGCGACGAUGACGGUGGAGGAGGUGAGGAAGGCGCAGCGGGCGGAGGGGCCGGCCACGGUGCUCGCCAUCGGCACCGCGACGCCGGCCAACUGCGUGUACCAGGCCGACUACCCGGACUACUACUUCAAGAUCACCAAGAGCGACCACAUGACCGACCUCAAGGAAAAGUUCAAGAGGAUGUGUGACAAGUCCCAGAUCAGGAAGAGGUACAUGCACCUGACGGAGGAGAUCCUGCAGGACAACCCCAACAUGUGCGCCUACAUGGCGCCGUCCCUCGACGCGCGCCAGGACAUCGUCGUCGUCGAGGUCCCCAAGCUCGGCAAGGCGGCGGCACAAAAGGCGAUCAAGGAGUGGGGCCAGCCGCGGUCCAAGAUCACCCACCUUGUCUUCUGCACCACCUCCGGCGUCGACAUGCCGGGCGCCGACUACCAGCUCACCAAGAUGCUCGGCCUGCGCCCCUCCGUGAAGCGCCUCAUGAUGUACCAGCAGGGCUGCUUCGCCGGCGGCACCGUGCUUCGCCUCGCCAAGGACCUCGCCGAGAACAACCGCGGCGCGCGCGUGCUGGUGGUCUGCUCCGAGAUCACCGCGGUGACCUUCCGCGGCCCGCACGAGUCCCACCUCGACUCGCUGGUGGGUCAGGCGCUCUUCGGAGACGGUGCGGCCGCGGUGAUCGUCGGCGCAGACCCCGAUGAGUCCGUCGAGCGCCCCCUGUUCCAGCUGGUGUCCGCGAGCCAGACGAUUCUGCCGGACUCAGAGGGUGCCAUCGACGGCCACCUACGGGAGGUCGGCCUCACCUUCCACCUCCUCAAGGAUGUGCCCGGGCUCAUCUCCAAGAACAUUGAGCGCGCCCUAGAGGACGCCUUCAAGCCAUUGGGCAUCGAUGAUUGGAACUCCGUCUUUUGGAUGGCACACCCCGGCGGGCCAGCAAUCCUUGACAUGGUGGAGGCCAAGGUAAACCUGAACAAGGAACGGAUGCGCGCCACCAGGCAUGUCCUCUCCGAAUAUGGCAACAUGUCAAGCGCAUGUGUGCUCUUCAUCAUGGACGAAAUGCGCAAACGCUCCGCCGAGGAUGGCCACACCACAACCGGCGAGGGAAUGGACUGGGGCGUUCUCUUCGGCUUCGGCCCCGGUCUCACCGUGGAGACGGUCGUCCUCCAUAGCGUCCCCAUCACUGCCUAG
Molecule: ribosomal RNA, 1185 nt
Filed under: Triticum aestivum (bread wheat)
Lineage: Eukaryota; Viridiplantae; Streptophyta; Magnoliopsida; Poales; Poaceae
Description: partial small subunit ribosomal RNA
Source: RNAcentral